CCUACGGGCGGCUGCAGUGGGGAAUAUUGGACAAUGGGCGAAAGCCUGAUCCAGCCAUGCCGCGUGUGUGAAGAAGGCCUUCGGGUUGUAAAGCACUUUCAGUGGGGAAGAAAGCCUUGGGGCUAAUACCCUCGAGGAAGGACAUCACCCACAGAAGAAGCACCGGCUAACUCCGUGCCAGCAGCCGCGGUAAUACGGAGGGUGCGAGCGUUAAUCGGAAUUACUGGGCGUAAAGCGCGCGUAGGCGGUCUGAUAAGCCGGUUGUGAAAGCCCCGGGCUCAACCUGGGAACGGCAUCCGGAACGGUAAGGCUAGAGUGCCGGAGAGGAAGGUAGAAUUCCCGGUGUAGCGGUGAAAUGCGUAGAGAUCGGGAGGAAUACCAGUGGCGAAGGCGGCCUUCUGGACUGACACUGACGCUGAGGUGCGAAAGCGUGGGUAGCAAACAGGAUUAGAUACCCUUGUAGUC
RNAcentral lists this ribosomal RNA (465 nucleotides) under Vreelandella stevensii. Its description in RNAcentral is "partial 16S ribosomal RNA". It matches the Rfam family "Bacterial small subunit ribosomal RNA", at positions 338 to 795 of the family's 1533-position model. Lineage: Bacteria; Pseudomonadati; Pseudomonadota; Gammaproteobacteria; Oceanospirillales; Halomonadaceae. The record is from RNAcentral.